GCGGGUAUAGCUUAAUGGUAGAGCACGUGCUUAGCGUGCGCAAAGUUCUGGGUUCAACCCCUGGUUCCUCUG
RNAcentral lists this transfer RNA (72 nucleotides) under Camelus bactrianus (Bactrian camel). It matches the Rfam family "tRNA". Rfam says of the family: Transfer RNA (tRNA) molecules are approximately 80 nucleotides in length. Their secondary structure includes four short double-helical elements and three loops (D, anti-codon, and T loops). Further hydrogen bonds mediate the characteristic L-shaped molecular structure. tRNAs have two regions of fundamental functional importance: the anti-codon, which is responsible for specific mRNA codon recognition, and the 3' end, to which the tRNAs corresponding amino acid is attached (by aminoacyl-tRNA synthetases). tRNAs cope with the degeneracy of the genetic code in two manners: having more than one tRNA (with a specific anti-codon) for a particular amino acid; and 'wobble' base-pairing, i.e. permitting non-standard base-pairing at the 3rd anti-codon position. The record is from Rfam by way of RNAcentral. RNAcentral also lists the same sequence under 2 other names. Lineage: Eukaryota; Metazoa; Chordata; Mammalia; Artiodactyla; Camelidae.